UACGGAGGGUGCGAGCGUUGUCCGGAAUCACUGGGCGUAAAGGGCGCGUAGGCGGCCCGGUAAGUAGGGGGUGAAAUCUUGCGGCUCAACCGCAAGGCUGCCUUCUAAACUGCCAGGCUCGAGCACAGUAGAGGCAGGUGGAAUUCCCGGUGUAGCGGUGGAAUGCGUAGAGAUCGGGAAGAACAUCGGUGGCGAAGGCGGCCUGCUGGGCUGUUGCUGACGCUGAGGCGCGACAGCGUGGGGAGCAAACAGG
Molecule: ribosomal RNA, 253 nt
Filed under: uncultured bacterium
Lineage: Bacteria
Description: partial 16S ribosomal RNA
Rfam family: Bacterial small subunit ribosomal RNA
Source: RNAcentral